RNAcentral lists this ribosomal RNA (497 nucleotides) under uncultured bacterium. RNAcentral describes it as "partial 16S ribosomal RNA". It matches the Rfam family "Bacterial small subunit ribosomal RNA", at positions 28 to 507 of the family's 1533-position model. The record is from RNAcentral.
GAUGAACGCUGGCGGCGUGCCUAAUACAUGCAAGUCGAGCGAACGGACGAGAAGCUUGCUUCUCUGAUGUUAGCGGCGGACGGGUGAGUAACACGUGGAUAACCUACCUAUACGACUGGGAUAACUUCGGGAAACCGGAGCUAAUACCGGAUAAUAUUUUGAACCGCAUGGUUCAAAAGUGAAAGACGGUCUUGCUGUCACUUAUAGAUGGAUCCGCGCUGCAUUAGCUAGUUGGUAAGGUAACGGCUUACCAAGGCAACGAUGCAUAGCCGACCUGAGAGGGUGAUCGGCCACACUGGAACUGAGACACGGUCCAGACUCCGACGUGAGGCAGCAAUAGGGAAUCGUCCGCAAUGGGCGAAAGCCUGACGGAGCAACGCAGCGUGAGUGAUGAAGGUCUUCGGAUCGUAAAACUCUGUUAUUAGGGAAGAACAUAUGUGUAAGUAACUGUGCACAUCUUGACGGUACCUAAUCAGAAAGCCACGGCUAACUACGUG